Molecule: long non-coding RNA, 530 nt
Filed under: Ananas comosus (pineapple)
Lineage: Eukaryota; Viridiplantae; Streptophyta; Magnoliopsida; Poales; Bromeliaceae
Description: long non-coding RNA (ACOM_LNC024245)
Source: RNAcentral
CACUUUUGUUAUAUUAAAUAAAUUGUUAUCCUAAUGGAUAUUUAUCAUUAUACACUUUUGUUAUAUUAAAUAGUUAUUGAUAACUUGAAAUAUUGGCAUGUGAUAUUAGUUAGUUUUAAAAAUAACUAAUGUUAAAUAGCAUUACAAAAUCACUUCAGCAAAAAAUUUUGCCAAACAGCUUUCUAAAAUCACUCCAGCACAAUCACUUUUCUAUCAGACUAAGCCAAACGCUCUACAAUUUUUAAUAGAAAUCACUUUUCCAAACUAAAAUCACUUCUGCAGAAUUCACUUUUCUAGAAGCUAGGCCAAACGAACCCUUAGAGGCCAAGUGAGCUGAGGGAGUAAGGAUUUUUUUAAUUUUCUAAAAAUUUAAAUUAUUAAUUUUAAAAUUAAAUUAAAAUAUUAAUUUAAUUUAAUUUUAAAAUUAAAUUAAAUUUAAUUAAUUUGUGGUAAUUUUUUUUAUUGCCAUUAUAGGUAACCAAACAAUGGCGAUUUAUUUUAUCGCCACCAUAAAUAACUAAAUAGUGGCA